AUCAUUUGUAAAUAUUCCAAGUCAGCUUUCACUCUUUAAUCAGUUUCCAUGUGUGAAUUGUGCACAUCUGGCAUUGAUGCUAAAUUUAAUUGCAGUGCCAUUAAAUCAUGUUGUUUGCUUGGCAUGGGUAUUGAUACAGCAGACUUCACUUAUUGAAGGCACGUAAAGGUGUCUUGUUUAUCGAAAGUUUAGUUCAAGUGAAGAACACAAAAUCGACAGUUUUAUUCGAAAAGCAUUCGAGUGUGUUGAUAACGCUAUAGCGGAAAAAAAAAACAAUCUAAUAUCACAGCUUUUCUUUUUUGCACAAUGUUGUGUUUGGGCACAAAUUCCUGAUAAAUCUAAGCAGCCUUCACAUUCAGAACAAUACUUUCGACUUUUAUUUCCUCCUGUUUCCUUCUGGUCCAAAAAAGAAAUGCUUGCUGAAACGGUUGUGUUUACGUAUUUGUCAUUGGAAUCGUAGUUUUUGUCACGAACUGCGCCGAUAAUAUGUUCAAGUUUCUAGGUAUCGUUCGAGGUCUUGUUCCUCGUGACGUGAACGUAGCGGUAGUGCCGGCUUUAUCUGCAGAAUCCUACCUGCUCUACAAGUAGGAUCUUCUUUUUAUUGGUGAUCAUUACUGGUCUAUCAAUUUUGUCAUGAUGGAACUGCCAUUUCAACGUCAGAAAUGUUUUAGUAUUUGCAUCGGGUAAACUUCCCGCAAUAGCCAGAUGGAAUGUGUUUCCUUUAUUAUUGAUAGUAUAUCACCGUUCCACCAAUUUGUCUUGCUUUUCUUGUUCCUUACACCACUGAGGUACGUCGUAGUUACGAUUAAAUUUCUAUCUGACUGGAUUUGUCAAAAAGACUGGUUCUAUUUGACCAAAGUUUGGCCUGUUCACAAUAAAGAUACCACCGUUCCAUUUUUGUGCCAUUUUCAUAUUAGGGAUUUUUUAUCCAAAGUUCUCAUUUGCAUCUUUCACUAGCUGUCGCGGUUUCAGAUGUACACUUGUAUUUUCUGCAGCUUUAAUGUUUGGUCGGGAAUUGGCAAACGGGAGGUAGUUUCAACAACUCAAAAACUAGGAAUGUUCGACCAAAUGAUCCUGCUAUGAUAUAUGCAAUCGUAACAUAUUUAUAGUUAUACCCGUGUUGUAUAUUGUGAGUAAUGUAUUUUUUUUUCCUGUUUGUAUUUAUUCUGGCAUAUAAGCGCUAUGUGUGUAUUUCGAACAAUUAAGGUGCGUUUGCUGGCACACGUUGAACGUUUUGUCGGAAAAUGUGACAUUUACGAGUUGCAGGUCAGUGUCGUUGGUGCUUGAAUUUUUUUUUUGUCUGCUCAACGAUUUCAUUGAUCUAAAUUUGUGAACAAGGAAUGUUGUGUUUCGUUUGCUAACAGUGUUCUUUCCUUGUUGCCUUCUGAUUUUUUUUUUCAGUUUCGUUUCGUCAUUUUCGCUUUACACCUGUGAGGAAAAACGUAGUAAUAAGUGCAUGCAGCAACCCAACAGGGGCUGUGCCAUGGGGUGAGGGGAGGGGUAGCGGAGGGUAGCCGCUCCCCCGAAUUUCGAACCAGCUUCCCCGGUGAAAAUACCUUGCUCUGCCCCGACAACGUAAUAAAGCCAAGGCUCGACUUCAUUGCCCGUUGGCUUCAUUGCGCUUCAAUUGACUAUAAGCCUUGCCUCUCGGCUCCCUCAAUUCUUUCUGCUUAGAGCAUAGAUGAAUGUGUUAAGAUACUUUACAAAGUCACUGUGUGAACGUUAAUCCUAUGAUGUUUCUAUGUUUGUUUUUUUAAGUGUUUUGUACUUCUUUCACUACAAUAACCUAUAAUGUAUCUCGUUGCUAAAGUGUGACACAGGUCUAAAUUCUCAUAGUUUUCUUGGUGUCCACAUUGCGUUAUCUGAGAUGUGGCAGCCUGUGGCAGUCACAUUUUGCUUUUGAUUGGAAAGAACACUGCGGAUUCUGUGAUCACAAUGUGUUUGUCGUAACAGGUUGUGUGAAGGUUCUAUGAAUUUUCCAGCGUGCAUGGUGUUUACAUACGUCAAUUUUUUUGCGUAGGGUUUAAAAAGACAUGGUAGGUUUUCCUUGCAGAACUUCUCAUUCAUUUUGUUGACGAAAAUACUUGCUUUAAUCUUCUUAAGCUUUCCUUUCAAAUACUGUGGGUGCUACUAAUGUCAGUCUGAUGUAGGCCUACAUUUACAGCAUAUAUUUAUUGUGGAAGAAAUGUAUGCAAAACUGUGAUAUGGAGUCUUUGCAUGCAUUCAAGUGAAAUGUAAAUCUGUUUGAAUUAUUAUACUUCUAAGUGGUCACGAGAAGGUGUCACUGAAAUCUCUUGACAUUACAGCAGGUGUAGUUAAAGGGAUACUGAACAAAAAUUGAAAAAAGUGGCGAAAACAUCAAGAUUUCACUUGGAAGACGUGACUGCUUCGAUAAACAGAGUUUAUUUCCUAUAUUUUUGAACAGGUGGCUGUAUUUUUGGUGGAUUGUCAGUGCGCGGUAGCUGCACGCGAGUGCAAUCCAUUGCUUCACAUUUACCCAGGCGCAUGCAGGGUGCACGUGUUCCUGUCCUCUCCUUCCCUUUCUCCACCUUUCAUCCCACUCUCCCCCUUCCACAAAAACGUUGAUGCUGUACCCCAGCCGGGAACAUUGUUCGCUGCCACUGCUGUUUGUAGUGGUUCUGGGAACGGUAGUGGUAUAUAGUGGGAGCUGAGCAGGUUGAGAGACGCAGGCAACGACUGGCAUUGUUGGCAUGCCCGUUUCCGGUGUAUGAAACGUCACCUUCUCUAUUUCACAGCGCGGCCGCUAGACGCGGCAGUUUGUGAAAAAUGUAUCAAAUUCCUUAUUUUCCUCUAGUUUCUGCCUGAAAUGAAGGUUGUGUCUAUCGAUUUCAGCACGUGAUCUUUCAGCUUGGCUGAAAAUCUUGGCAGCAAAAAUUUUGUUCAGCAUCCAGUGGGAAUCUCGAGGUGACCUCACCACCUGUCCUUCAUAUUUGCAUCGGCAAAUACAUCCCUUGUUUGUCAACAAGCCUCUGUUAAUGACAAGAAUGACCUAGUUGCAGCUUUAGAAGCACAGCACGACAGCCUUGGCUAACUUAGUGAGUUAUACUUCUAGGGUCUCUUUGAUAAUCUCCUUGUUUAUGACUGACCAAUGCAUUGAGCUGUCUGUUGUGGUUAACUGUCUUCUCAUAUAUGUCACAAUGGGAUGCCUCAAAGAGUGUGAUUGUGUGCAGUUAUUUUGUGUGUAAUCUCAUUCCUGCUGAAAGAUAUGUCUAGCUCAACUUUGCAAACAUAUUGUGUGCAUGCUGUUCUUGACAGCACUUGAGUGCAUUUUCGCUGAAUGCAACAACACAUUGUUGAUUCUACGAAAUGUCUUGCAACUUUUUGUACAGCUUGAAAAAUAUACAGAACAUUUAAACGUCUCGUCCUUGUCUGUUUUGUACUAUUGCGCUUGAAAGCUGCACAUUUCGUAUAAGGUAACAGAGGAUACUAGCUUGCAAAAUUGCAGAAAGUCUUCAAACUAGCUCUUAUUGAUUAGCAGCCAUAACAUGCAGCAAGGCACGUUUAUUUGAGCCAUGCCACACAAGAUAUCACUAUGUAUGUGGCUGUUCACGGCUCUGUCGCUGUAUCUAAAUGAUGCAUUAUUGUUGAAUUGUAUGCAUACCAGUUAAAAUUAUUGGCUGUGGUGAAACUGGUGGAUGUACAAGAUGCGUGUGUUUUUAUCAAAAGAACGAUUUUAAGACGUGCUAUCAAAAGAACGAUUUUAAGACAUGCUUACUGUUCAAAGACUGAUACAUAACUGAAAAAACAACUUGCAGCGGGGGACUCUAAGGAGAAGCACCUCAUAAAUUAUGUGCUAUUUGUUAACUUCUCUGAUUGUUACCGGAUUUCAUUUAAAAGGCCUUGUGUAGACAAGCUGCAGAGUAAGAUUCAAAGAAAUAUUAAAAUGAUGCCAUCACAGGUACAUACGUAGAGCACACACACACACAUUGAGUUAGGUGAACACCUAGGGCAAGUUUUGAAGAGCUACUUGGUCAAAAUUGUUGUUCGGCCAUCUGCAAAAAAACAAAACAGUAAUAUGGUAGCCCGCUUGUUGCCUACUAUGUGUGCUACCGCAGCCCUUCCUUUAUAAACAUGCACUUAUUCUCAUUUCUCAUAUUUCCAUUUCUUCCUGAUUUAGCUGCAUUAUUUGUGUUUUGAUUAAUUGUGUGUGCUUAAAAGUGCGGGAAAGAAAAAGAGAAGUCAUUAUUAAUGAUGUAAAAAUUUAUGAAUUCACUGAAAAGAAAUAGGUAUUGGUACUGUCUCAAGGGACUUUUGCGUUGCGAGCAUGCUUGGUCAGAGUGAAGCACUGAAUUUGCUAGGUUGAGGUGCGUAGCUCACGUAGUUCUUACGUGCGCUCAUAAUUGUUAUGCUUAGUGGAGGUGCGUCUAUUUUUUUAUGAUUCUUAUCAUUGUGGCAAAGAUUGUGAUCUUUCAGCUUGAUAGGACAUCGUGUGACAUUGCCGGCAGAGUGACAUUGAAGGACGGCCUUGUACAGAGAGCCCCCUUUGUGAAAGGACCAUGAAAAAAUAUGGUCAGGAGAAAAUGCAGCAGACGCAGCUAGGGAAGUGAACGAACACUGACUGUGACCUGAUAACCUUAACCUGUGCCACUGGACAUGCUGUAUAUCAGGACAUCUCGCGUGUUUUCGUAAGCGUGAUUACUUGCACUUUUCACCUGUUUCAUUUCUUAUCAUAAGAUAGGCAGCUUCUUGUGUUGCUGUCGUACAAAGGAGCAACCUUUUCUUCCUAGUUCAAGGACUGAUGUGUGUUUGCAGUAAUCAGAAACUGUAACCUACUGUAAUUGUGGUGAUGUGCUACAUUCACACUUUCGAAUCCAGAUGUCAGGUCUCAUUUUAUUGUUGGCUCACAUCGCAAAUUUCCUGCUAUAUACUGUUAAAAAAGAACCACCCAUAAACCGUUAUGGGUCGCGACAGCUGUAUUUUUAAAAGUUAAUAUUUAUAAUGUGUACUAUAGUGAUUGAAAGAAACACGAACGAUGUGGCAUCUACAUUCUCUGCUGUUUCACAUUUAUUUUCAAGCGGUUGUUGCCUAGAUAGUAAUAAAAAGCCAAUGAGUCAUCCAUGGUACAACCAAGAACCACUCUAACAUCAUUUUAUUGCCACCAAGGUCAGAGCACGAUGAGAACAGUGCACCGCACUGUUCGCAUUUCUUUCAAUCCCCCCUGUACCUUAUCAGAUAUGCAGACUCCUGCGCCUUGUUAGAAAAUAUGCACUAAAGUAUCAUGCCGCUUGGUAGCGAUAAUAAAUCUAUACCAUACUGUAUAAUAUUUUCACGGCUAAACUGUCACCAGCCAAAGUUUAAAAUAGUCCUGAGAAGUGCGACCAUGUAAACAGUUUCAGUGACACUUCCUUGAUCAACACCAAGAUAAACCUGACAAAGUGUCUUCUCCUCGAGUCAUGGCAUAAUCAAGACACUCCUGGCAACAUCAGCCACUUGUUUGGGCUGCUGUCACUGUGUAAACCCACGGCCAUUGCAGCGUGAUGGAGAGGAGGAACCAGCAGCAAAAUGAAAAAUACUCUGCUUCUUUGAACACUUCACUCAUCGCCUGAGAAAGGGACCGAACUGGUCCAAAAACGACAGGGCAACCUUAAAUUUUGGCUGGCGUCAGUGUCGCCUGAAGAAUCUUCUAUCCAGCCAGACAUAUUUUUGUCAAGAAUGUUCACAUUUACUAUUUCAUAUGUAUACCACUUGUCUGCCGUAUGUUAAGCAUAGUGUGUGUAACAUAUCUGUGGCCGCAUGCAAGUUGUGGCCAUUUGUGAUGUUUGGCAAUGCGAAAUCUGCCCACUUUGUGAAGAGUGUAUGAACUAAUGUUGACAUUACUGCAGCUAAUUAUUCGCUAUGCAGUAGAACUCUCGUGGCAUCUCUGACACUCCUGACAUUUGUCAGCCAAACAGUUCUCUUUUUUUUUCUUUUUCUUUAAGAAUGGCUGCCUUGUAGCAUAGUAAGAAAAUAAAAAACUUGUUCUUGCACUGAAGUACAUACCAGUAGAAGUUUCAUCUCGCACUUUGAAGUUCAGUAAGGCUGAAAGUCCUAUUUUUUUUAAACACAAACACACAGCAUGUGCUUUAUUUUUAAGCAUGUAAGAAGCAUUGCUUGCUGGUCGUUUCUUGGCAAUUUAUCAGUGUUACCAUCAACAAUGUGUUAUAUUAAUGUUCUAUUAAUUUUCUAUUAAUGUUCUGUUAAUUUUACCAUCAAUAUUGUGUUCUACAGUGAAAUGGCAACAGUCAUCAUUUAAAUACCUUAUCAUUGCCAGGCUGGCAGGCAAUGCUGUAUAACCCAGUUGUAUUGUUAGCUUUCAGGAGCACUUUUGUAGGCUGAAGAUGCUUGACUUCUGCAAUUUGUAAUUCUGUCCGAAUAAACUGUUUUCAGCGAUAAAGACCAAAAGCUUGCUGCCGUUUGUUUUUGUACAGGCAUUAGUACUAUACAUUUCUCAUACACGGUUGGCACAAGCAUCUCACGUUUUAAAUGAGGAGACGGCUGGACACUUUCAGAACAGUACACAUGCAUGUGUGUUAUGUGGUACACACUGACUUCCAGUGUAUUUACAUUGAAAGCACGAACAGGGACCAAGUAGUUUAAUUACUGUAGAUAUGCGAGCCUAGGCUGACCUCAAUUCUAGGCUAACCUCCAGAUUUGGAAAGUCUCGAAACAUUAAAAAAGCUUUCUUUAAAUGCAAGUUGACCAUGACAAUAGUAAAAUGACCGCAGGCUCUAAAAAGCGAAUGAUGUUUGUUGCCUAUUUCCAACUCCAGUAGUAACUACACCACUUGCUCGUAUCCAGCAUCUCACCAGAAGUGAACUUUGAAGGACCAAUACUGUGCCUGCUCUGUAUGUAUUUGUCGUAGUUAAAAUAGUGUACCUGUAGAGUAUUCUCUAGUAUUGUGUGGUGGUAAUUUGAGUGGUGGUUGCCCUGUCUCAGCAGGGCAGCCAUUACAAACCAUUGUGGCAGGUCCGAUCGCACUUUAGCACAUUAGUGAAUCUAUGAGCAGUUAAUUAGUCUAAAAUUUGGAGAAGGCAGUUAUGAAGAUUUUCAGUGUAACAUGACGUGUCCACUGAACCAAGAUGCAGGUGCAAGAAAACUUCAUGCAAAAUAAACAUUGUAACACAUUUAAUGGCAUAUUAAAUAAAUGUUUUGGCUGCUUGA
This is a long non-coding RNA of Rhipicephalus sanguineus (brown dog tick), 7161 nucleotides long. RefSeq lists it as uncharacterized. The record is from RefSeq and is a predicted model, not a curated record. The transcript has 2 exons. NCBI's taxonomy places the organism in Eukaryota, Metazoa, Arthropoda, Arachnida, Ixodida, Ixodidae.